RNAcentral lists this ribosomal RNA (496 nucleotides) under uncultured bacterium. RNAcentral's name for it is "partial 16S ribosomal RNA". It matches the Rfam family "Bacterial small subunit ribosomal RNA", at positions 29 to 507 of the family's 1533-position model. The record is from RNAcentral.
AUGAACGCUGGCGGCGUGCCUCAUACAUACCAGUCGCGCGAACAGACGAGGAGCUUGCUCCUCUGACGUUAGCGGCGGACGGGUGAGUAACACGUGGAUAACCUACCUAUAAGACUGGGAUAACUUCGGGAAACCGGAGCUAAUACCGGAUAAUAUAUUGAACCGCAUGGUUCAAUAGUGAAAGACGGUUUUGCUGUCACUUAUAGAUGGAUCCGCGCCGCAUUAGCUAGUUGGUAAGGUAACGGCUUACCAAGGCAACGAUGCGUAGCCGACCUGAGAGGGUGAUCGGCCACACUGGAACUGAGACACGGUCCAGACUCCUACGGGAGGCAGCAGUAGGGAAUCUUCCGCAAUGGGCGAAAGCCUGACGGAGCAACGCCGCGUGAGUGAUGAAGGUCUUCGGAUCGUAAAACUCUGUUAUUAGGGAAGAACAAAUGUGUAAGUAACUAUGCACGUCUUGACGGUACCUAAUCAGAAAGCCACGGCUAACUACGUG